This 35-nucleotide small RNA is filed under the name Anaerobutyricum hallii. Its description in RNAcentral is "CRISPR_Spacer". The record is from RNAcentral. Lineage: Bacteria; Bacillati; Bacillota; Clostridia; Lachnospirales; Lachnospiraceae.
GAAGACGGGAAAGAUAUUCGUCUAAAUGUUUCAGC